Daphnia pulex (common water flea) is the source of this 643-nucleotide long non-coding RNA. RefSeq lists it as uncharacterized. Lineage: Eukaryota; Metazoa; Arthropoda; Branchiopoda; Diplostraca; Daphniidae. The record is from RefSeq and is a predicted model, not a curated record. The transcript is spliced from 3 exons.
CUACGUCACGCGGCGUAAACAGCGUAGGAAAAACAAAAAACUGUCCGUCUGCAACUCCCGACCCGGUAAACUGAGGGAAAUAGAACAACAACCGCUUAAAACGUGCUAUACUACACCGACUGGGAUUGGAAAAUGAUAGGACCAUUGUUAUCGUGUUCGGAUAAUCCCAAUUGCAGACCAAUAAAAAGAGAUUGAAUCAAAAAGCGCCCCUUGCGGUUAGCUGUCGACACACGCAAGUCAUAAACGAGACAUAGUUUCCAACAAUUGAGCGCUUCACUAAUUACAUUUCAAACAGCUCCGAUGAUCACAAAGAGGCCAUCAAUCGGACGUGUGCAAGGUGAGAAGGCCUUCUAGUGCGUCGGUUUCUUGCUCAACAACAUCUUCUUUGGCGGACGCUUUUUUCAUACGCUGGACGAGCGUGUUACGCGAAGGAAGAAUGAGAACACCCUGAUUGCGGAUAAAAUCAUAAGUUGAAGAACUUUUCGCGCUCAAGGUCGUCGCACUUCGCAUAGUCGCUUGACUGUAUUUGACAUUGACUGCAGUUUUAGCAUUAAAGUUCAGUAUCUGUAAAGAAGGAUACAUCGGAUGUAAAUAAGUGCUGAUUUACUAAUUAGGAAUAAACAAAACCUGAUCGAUGAGAAAA